UUUGAGCAUGGUAAUUUUCCUUUUCAUCAAUCACAUACAUUCCCUAUAUUUUUCUACCAAUGCCAAAAUUUCAAGUAAAGGGUAGCAUGAAAUUUCUUCAACUUUUUACUCAAUUAAACACUAACCCAUUCAAUUCUCAUGCCAAUAAAUAAAAUUUCAUCACAAUAUCACAAAUUACUACAACCAAUAUGCUAAUCACAAAGUUCCAUAAUCAAGCCCAUCAUCACCCAAGCAUACAUGUAUGAAAUUUCUACAUUCAACACAAUUCAAUUAUAUUUACUACUA
RNAcentral lists this long non-coding RNA (285 nucleotides) under Populus trichocarpa (black cottonwood). RNAcentral describes it as "long non-coding RNA (PTRI_LNC002866)". Lineage: Eukaryota; Viridiplantae; Streptophyta; Magnoliopsida; Malpighiales; Salicaceae. The record is from RNAcentral.